CCUCAAGAAGGAGCUAAAGGAAACAAAAAGGCCAAGAACGUACCUAGCAUGUAUUUUACAAUAUCAAUAUGGAAUCCUCUUAAUAGCCUAUGUUAUAACAACUUUAAUAACUUCUUAGCUCAUUUUCAUGUGUGAAAAAUUACCUGUAAAAUCACAGAUGACAGAUCGUUUGCACUUAAGGGGCCUUUGGGGUCCAGGGAUUCCCAGCCAGAAGAUCACAGGUUCCCAGGGAUCUUCCAAAGUAUGAAAGGAGUCCAUGAGUUGCUGUCAACAUCUCUUAAUGUGAAACAGUAUUUGUGCAUUUACUCAUAAUAAAGACUGCACAGGCUAACUAGUGGGUUAAAUUUUUUUUGCCAUGGGAUGGAAUUAAACCAAUUACAUUGGUUGGUCACCUCCUGGUAACCAGAGGCACUGAUUGUACAGUAAAUGGAUGUUGUGCAAUUAAAAAAAUGGGAAAACAAGUUCUUGCUUAGAACAGCUUUAUGGCUGAUAGAAAUCUUAUUUAAUAUGGCACCCAUGGUGGUGAGUGAUGAGGGAUGAUGAAAAAUAGUGCACUAUUUGAUGGCAAAAGGGUACAUGCAGAACUGCUAGUCAUACCAGCUCUGGAAGGUGGUUUUCUUCUAAGCCAGAGCAGCCUUCUCAUGGUACAGAUUAAGAAGCUGAGACCAGUCCUUGGUGAUGCACUGGCUGGAAUCCAAGGCCCAGCUCCCAACUUUUAGUCCAUGUCCCUUACCUUUCCUCCUGCCCUGGCUCCUGUUGCUGUGCCUAGGAUGUAUCUGAGAAUUGGAAACGUCAGCCAGAGUCACAGGAGCUAGGGACUGCAAAACUGUUGGCCAUCCUCAGAUGUGCUUGUGGGCUGGCUUUGUCACAAUUUAGAGAUUGCAGCUCUAGGUUGGCUGGCUCUGGUUGCUCAGGGCGCUGUGGCACUCUUCUCCACAGAGCCUGUGGUCUGGGCCUCCUUAUUGGCCUCUGGUCUCCACUCUUCUCCCAAGGAAACAAAGAGCCAAACCCACUUGGCACUCUUUCCACUGCUUCGAUGGAGACUGGGGUCCAGAGAACCUGCCCCCUCUGAACAAUGACCCUUCUGUUUCCCGCAAGACAGUUUGUUUCUGUGGACUACGGACAUAUUCUCCUUUGGUAAGCUCUCCCCAUUUCUGUCUGGCACCUGACAAAAUCUCCUCCUAAGGGCAGGACUCCAGCAAGAAGCCUGCCAAAGUCUGAAAUCUGAUCCUCCCUCUCUGUAGCAUCCGAGGACACGUGUGUGUGUGUGUGUGUGUGUGUGUGUGUGUGUGCAGGCACACACACGGGCCAAAACAGGGAGGCUUCUCUAAUACUCUGCUACUAAGCACAGUCACAGACGUGGCCUCUCUGAGGUGACAGGGUCUCUCGAAGCCCCACAGCCCAACCUGAGAACUGCCGCAGUGAUGUGAAUGCCACCACAUGGUCCUGCCACUUUGGGGGUGACCCUCAGGAGUGACAGCUGGUGAGGCAGCUAGGGUUUUCCUCUCCUGAGGGCCUGAGUGUCUGGAGUGUUUUUCCAGUCAGUAUCUGUCCUUGCCAAGAGAAAAUUGCUCCCUUCCCCCAUCCAAAAAUAAAAUAAAAUAAAAUAAAAAUUUAAAAAUCUCACAGAGUUUGGCUGCUUUUAGCAAUCUUUUCUUCCUUUGAAGAUUUAUUCAUGGAAUGAAAAUCCCCCUCAGGCCGAUUUGGCUGAUGCUAGGAGGGCUCUGAGUAAGCUUGCUCUCCUAGUUCUCAGGGAGCAAAGUCAAAUACCAGGACAAGAAGAAAUCCUGCACCUGGAGGAAAAGGGGCAAAGGCAGGUGGGGGAUGUGUGUCUCUAAGGUUCUGUAAUGAUUGCUUAGCUGUUGUGUAUCUUUUUUUUUUUUUUCUUUUCUAAGUAGGAUGCCCAAUGUGGGACUUGAACUCACCACCCUGAGGUCAAGAGUCACAUCCUUUACCAAGUGAGCCAGCUGGGCACCCCCGUUGGGUACCGUUUUUGAUUCUGGACUAUGCUUUACCAGCAUUCACACAUCCAUCAGCCCGGGAGGCUGGUCUUUGAAGGCAGGUGAGGACAGUUAAGGCCCAGGUGGGCAAGAUGGCUGAUUAGAACAAGUCCCAAAUGCCUAGAAACUAAGGCAGGCCACCUGGCUGCAACUGAGCUCAUGUCCAGGAAGGCUGCUUCCUGGGUCCCGACCAAUGAAGACUAGAAACUAGAAACCAUCUGGGUGAGUAGAGGCAACCCCAGAAGCAGGUCUACACUCACACCCUACUUUGAUUGCCAGGUGGACUUCUGAGAGAGACGGCAGAGCUUUGCCUUCCCUCUGCACUUUUUUGUCUCCAGCUCACCCUCCAGCUGUUGAGAAUCAUCCCAGUCCCCACUUACCCAAUGUUUAUUGUGUGCUGUAACUGCACUGGCUGUUUUACAAGCCCAAGGGUCCCCCUCACGUGCUUCUCACAUCUACACGCCGAGGGUUAGUCUAUAGAUGCAUUUGAGACUGUAGUUCCUUCAAAAUGCAAAGCUAGACAGGAAUGGUAUCAUAGUAUCUGACGUGAUGAAUGAGCCUGCUCUCUUUUCUCUCUCCCACAAAAAGCCUUUCUGAACAUGAGCUGUGCCAGAUUUAUGAUAGGUCAGGUUACAAAAGUUCCUGGUUAAGCCAGUUGUUUGUCACUCUGAGCACAUUUCCCCAUAGAAACAAUGUUAUGUUGAGGUUGGGUUCCCAGGCUAACCUAUACAAGCCAAUUAACCCAUUAUGUGUCUAGCUUUGGGAACAGCUUGGUGGAGCUGAAGCUGCUCUAGUUGGAAGCCAGAGAGGCAUGAGUUCCAGCCACGGCUCAGUCACUUACUUGCCAUGAAGUCUUGGGCAAGUCGUUGAGUCUCUGUGCCUUAGUUUCUUUAUCUUGUAUUGGGAUGAUAUUUUAUGUACCUUGCAGGGUUGUUGGGAAUAUUGGGAAUGGGUUCUAUGAUAUACCCUCGAAUAAUGGCACAACAGAAUUCCAUGGCCCUGUAUAAAAACUGGCUUUGUGGCCUCAUGGAUUCUGAGUUCCAACAUGCAAUAUGAGCGGCGCACCGUGCUUGCUGAAUUUGGAUUGGAGAAUCUUUGCUUUCCUUGGGAAAGGGACAUGGCGACUCUCAUGCCCUCAGAUCCCUGCUGGCGACCCUGAAGUCUGGGCUGGAGUUCUUAUCAGAAUGGGACUGGAGGUGCCAGAGGGAAGUGGGAAGUAGCAGAGGCAGGAAGGCGAGUCAGAGCGCAACGUAGGUAUGCGUCCUCUCUCUUCCUUUUGCUAUCAUAAAACUACACAAAGAUCUGGUUACUUUUUCUUAAGUUUCCGUGCCUUCCACACCACCAACCAGCUGGACACCUCCUGGUCAGAGUUAAAUACAGACUAGUUCCCUCCUUGCUUCCUCUACCUUUUAAGUCAAGAAAUUGUUAGCAAGGCGAGCCAACGAUUCAUGAGAUGGGGCAGAUGCCUGGAUAAAUACCCCCUUUCCCAUCCCUAUUCCAUCUUCUUCCUGUGCCAGUUUUAAAAAUCUUAACUAGGAAAGCAUCAGCCAGAGCCUCACUCUGCCUGAGAAGACUGGAGUAUACACUGCCAGCAAAAUCCUUUCUAUUUUGCCCUUUAGAAAAUCUCAUCCAUAUGCUCUCGGCUUUGCUUCCACUCUGAUGUUUGUGACUUCUGAUACUUGUGUAUGCACUCCCAACACCCACUGCAGGGACUGUGAUCAUGUGAACUUGCCACCCUCACCAGCACGGCAUUCUGGUUGUGCGUUCAAGCCCACCAAAUCUCCGCUGUCUUGGAGGUCUUGUUCACUCCCCUAAGAAACCCAACCCGUUUACUUUGCCCCCUCACUGUGCAGUUGGCAAACGUGUCGCCACUGUGGAUGUGACCCCGCUGCUCCUCCCUGCCAGUUCCUCGGGAGAACUGCUUGGCACCUCCUCUGCCAGGCUUCUUAUUUCUAGCUCACACCUGCUGCCCCUCCGUGGGCUGUGAUUUUAGAGUUUCAUUUGAACAUUCUACUUUAUCCCCUUUAAAUCUCAUUUUAAAGCUCUCCUGUUUGGUCUUCAAGUCUCUGGCCAAAAAUAUUCCUCUUGGUUUAUGUGACAAGCUCCUGAUUUCUUGCCAGGGGCCUGUCACUCCAGCACUGAGAUCCAUGGUCCAGAAGAAUAGUCAUUCUCAGAUCAGCUACAGAGCAGCUCUGUGUUCCCCAUACAUGCUUAUUGCUUCUAAAAUCAUGACUCAUGGCAGAGGAAGAGACUUGAGCAUCACCUCUGCCCCACAUCCCUUAGUUUCCUAUGUAAGGCAUCAGAGUCACUAGAGAUACUAAUGAGGAUUCUUCUGGAUGUGUUACUUGCCCCCACACCCACAGGAGGGAGAAAUAGUCGAGGGGUUAUAUAUGAGCAUGUAUACGCACCCCUUUCUUGUCUCUAGUGCAAGGGUUUUCACCAAAGUCAAUUCAGCAAAAUACUGAUUUCAUAAGAUGCUCUGGGGUAGGCGAAUUCUAUGGCCAAAUAAAUUUGAGAAACUAAAUAUCUUGCUUUUGCAUGGUUUCAAUAGGUUAGAAUCCAUACCAAAGGCUCUAAAAGAUCCUACCAAAAAGAAAUAUACAUAACAUGGGAUUUCCCAAGUGGAUUUGAUGAUUUCCUCUUGUGAGUUUUCUUGUAACUUCUCAUAGAAUGCGCUUUAACCAAUGCUACUUUGAUACACGCCUGAAGUGGACAACUUGAGAAGCUACCUUCACUGGCUCUCAUUAAACCUGCCUUCUCUUCUCCAGAAGGUCUACGUCUGUUCUCCUUGAAUACAGUAUCAGACUUUUAUAUUUUUCUCCCCAAACAGGGAUGGGGCAUUUCCAUGUUAUAUCUAUUUAUUCGUGAGACUCUGACCUUGCUUUAUGUUCCCUUGACCUUCUGAAUUUGUUUUCUUUUUAGAUCAUUUCUUUUAGGGCAUCAAGAAACCCUUCAUCAAUGCAAAUACACAGAUCUCUAAAGCUUCCUGAAGCCCAUUCAUUCACUCCUCUGCUAGGAGACCCGUUUAUCUGGGCAGUACCAGUAAAUUUGUCAUCAAGGUCAAGUAAGAAAAAUAAAUAAUUGGCCCCUAUCACAUCCCUGAGGUUCUAUUUCUCAGUGUCUUCAAUGUGACAACUUGGAGGCCUGAUCUUAUGGGGCCUGGAAUUGUGUUUAUUUGACUUGCACCAUGGUUUUUUAAGUUGGAAGAUUUUAUAUACACUCCUGGAGGCCAGCUUCUCUUGAGAAAUGGGAUUUGUUAAUACUGGGUUGCUCUCCAUCAUGGGAGCAAUUGGCUCAAGCUGAGUGCUGGCUGUUCCCAUGACAUAGGGCAGGUGCUCUCCUGUUUGCUAGAGCACACCCCCCCACCCCCCGAACCCCACAUCCUCUCACUUACCUCACUUAUAUUAACUACCUAGCCUCUGCUGCCAUUUGGAUUUGGGAUCCCUCACAGAGACCUUUGUAGUUCCCUCCUAGGAAUUUUCCUAGCACCUGCCUCAAAAGCGUCUCCUCUCUCUCCUUCCCCAUCUGAUUCUUCCCAUUUGAGCUGCCAGUGUUUUCAGUCACAAGUCCUAAUAUGUGUCUAACAUCAAGGGCUGACCAGCUGUGUCAGAGUAAGAACUGAAGCUGUUGGCAUUGCACUGAUCAUAUACUCAGAAAUAGAAUAUCAUCCCAAGUCCACUUCUUCUGAGAAAAAAAAAAAUUUCAGUCACCCUGUGUUUACAGGUCAGAUACAACAUGGUAGGCUAUCAACUGACGAUCACAGAACACUAAGUAACGAACUUGUCCUUUACUGAAGAAGUAGCUUAAGCUCAUGUUUACCUUUCCCCCGAAUUUUCCACUUGGCACAAACGAUGAUUAUUAUGAAUGCUAACAUUAUGCUAUCAAGUCUUGAUUAUUAAAGGACAAAUGAUUAUCCAGUCCUCAAAUCUCUUCUAACUCAUUGACUUAUUGCUGUUUCAUUUUUCUUUAGUAUAGUUAUCUCUAGCUUGGUGGAGAGCAAAAUUAAAAGUACAAAUCAUGAAGCAGCCAAUCAGCUCAAAUCAGAGGGCAUCUUGUUUGAUUCUCUUUGCCUCAACCCUGCACAUGUCUGCAGAAACCCUGAUUAUGAGCACCCUCCAUUCCUCUCCCUGCCCAAGUUCAGGGACAAGGUAAUACGGAAGAGGAAAGGGAGAACCUGAUGAAUGAGAAUGCUAAUUAAUGGGAAUGUAUUGAUAGCUCCAAUAAAAGCUUCACUGAGACUAACAGUUGGGGGUUUUAAUUUACCCCCAAUGUUCCUACCCACCUCUUGCCCUGUGGUAAUCCCAAACUGGAGAUUACAGACACACUUUCAGCCCCCUGAGUUCAAAGGCAAGGUAGGGUACUUGGCUUGAUUGGCACUUUGGAACACUCUCCAAAAAAGGUCCACUUUUGAGAUUAAAGGGACCCUUCAUUCAAUAGAAUAGAAAACAUCUUGUUACUAGACAGUGGGUAGUUUCAAUCUAAGUGUAGGCUCAAUAAACAUGACUGUGCAGCAUUUAUGUAAGUCCCUGACGCUUUAGCAAUUGGAGGGUAUAAGUGCAUUCUUGGAAUGAAGAGAGCCUCUCUCUCAUUGAAGAGCAUUAGAAGAUAGGGAAACUGCUUUCUGAGUGAAAGGUGAAGUGGCAGGGCCAAAAGAAAAAAGAAAUUUAAACACUCAUACAAUCUUCAAAGUAGAGCUCUAUAAUCUUCAAAGUGGAGAUUUGAUGAUCCCUCUCAGAGAGGUGUUUACAGAAGGAUGCUUACAUUGGGAGGGGAAACCUAAAGGCCUGCCCAAAGCUUGGAGUCUGCAAGUUAUUAUUACAGUUAAGAACCACAACACUAUAUGUCUAAAUGAGAGAGCCUAUACAAUGUAGUUGCUUAUAUACUACUGCAUGUUCUUCUUACAGAUGCCCAUAAUAAUCAAUAGUAUCAUACCAACAUCUGAAACAUUUCAAUUCCACUCAUUUAUCCACUCUCAUUCUCAUAAGCAUCCUGUGAGAUAGCUGUAAUUUCCAUUUUACAUACCAGAAAAUGAAGAAUCAGAGAAGUGAGUAACUUUCCCAAGGGCAGAGAGUAAGAAAGAGGCAGAGUGGAAGCUGAAACUCAGCGCUGAUUUUUGGAUGCAGCAAAACCCAGGGAUUAGUAUCUACAUUUCAUGUAAAGGGAAACGCAGCCUAACAUAUGGAGUUGUAAAGCCAUUUGCCCAGGGUUUCUGGAGAGAUAAUUUACUUAUUUCACAGGAGAGUUACUGAGUUUCCUGAUAAGUACAGCAAAAGGCUGCUUUCAAAAUCUUUGGCCAAAUAACAAAUCCAUUAACAUUUUCUUGAGUAAAUGUUGAUUUAAGUGAAGAAUUAAAAUUAAUCGUCACUUGAAUCUUUCUUGAGAAUAUCUAUUGUUUUUCAAUCUCUUUUUUCAUAAAACAUGUGCAAGUAUGAACAGUUUAAGGAAAAUAUAUCAUACUGCAUAUGCUAAUCACAUCAGCUCUAAAUAUAAAGAUGGACUCUGGUGUAUCACAGAAAUGCCCCUAAUGCAGAAGGAUGAUAAUUCUCCAAAGUUCUAAUUAGUAGAGAAUAACAGAGGGAUAAUUAACUCUGAUACUCUUUCCUUUGGACGUAAAAAACCAAGUAAACAAAACCAUGUUAAGCUAAGUUUAGAGACCACCUAAGUCAACUUCUGGAUGAGAGAAUAUGAAAUCGUGGUAGUGAGGAAGAGAGAAUGACGUGUGGAAUUUUGUUCAAUGUGAAUUUCUACUUCCACAAUCAAACAGCACACUUCACAGUUCCGGCCUUGUGAAAAAAGCCCAAUGCUUGGUUUCCACGGUUUUUCUGGCCCUGAUAUGCACGAACUCCCCCAGGUUAGCAGAGCUGGUUCUCUCCUGACAGCCCUCUUUCCGGCUCCCUGAGGGUUACCUCCUCUCCAGUCUCUCUGGGUCCCUCUCUGACCUAACACCCUGUACACCCAUACAUUUCAGGAUAAAGGUCCCUGUGUUCCUAGAACUCUGAAAUUUGGGCUCUGGAAAGAUUUUUAAAGACAAUGCAUUCCUUCACUGACCUGUUCAAAACAUAUCUGCUGAUUGACUACCUCCCCGUCCACUCCCUCACCUGUAGGAAAAAGUGCAACUCCUGGGAACAGCAUGGAGAUCCUGCUGUGGCUGCCUCCCACCUGCCUUCCCAUGCCGUCUCAGAACCAUUUGCCUCUCUCUUCACAUCCAGUGUCCUCCAGCAUGUCUGCCCUUUGCCCAGCCUACUUCUCCCCUCCUAGCACACACCUGGCUCCUACUUUCUUCGGGCAUUCCCAUUUCUUUCUCAGGCUCAAAUGCAACUUUCUUUCUGAAGUCUAAUCCUACUUUCUCAGUUAGGUGCUCCCACAACACACUCAACUAUUCAUGGCUCCUUGUUAAGACAAAGCCCACCGUAUUAUAUUGUAUUUCCUUCUUUUGUGAGGGCUUCAGGGAGGGUAGGUAUGGUUGGUUAAACUGUGUUUUCCAAGAAGCUAUGUUGAAGGCCUAGCCCCAUACUUGUGAAUGCAACUGUAUUUGGAAAUAGGGUCUCUGCAGAUGUCCUCAAGCUAAGGUGAUGUCACACUGGAUGAGGGUGGGCCAAAUCCAAUGACUAGUGUCCUUAUAAGAAAAGAGAAAUUUGGACAGAGAGACACAGAGACACAGAGGGAGAAUGCAUGUGAAGAUGAAUGCAGAGUUUGGAGUUUUGCAGCUCUAAGCCAAGAAUUGCUGGCAACCACUGGAAGCAAGAAGAGAGGCAUGGAUGGAACAGAUUCUCCCUCAGAGCCUGGGAAGGAACCAAUCCUGCUGACACCUUGAUUUCAGACUUUUAGCCUCCAGAAUUGUGGAAGAAUUAAUUUCUGUUGUUGCAAGUCACCUAGUUUGUGGUGAUAAUGUCAGGUGGCCUUAGGAAACGAAUACAGUUGGUGAUAGAUUCUGGAUAUGCUCAUCUUCCCAACUAGAUGGGCUCCUAGAAGUAGGGCCUGUGGUAAUCCUGAUUUCCUUGGCCCCAGCACAAUAUUAACACAGAAUAGAUGCUCAACAUGUUUUGGCCAAAUGAGGGAACAUACUUGGGAAUCGACCUUCUUUUGCUUUUAGGUCAGUGGAUCCCAAGAAGGGUUCACUUCUCUGAGUGAUCAAGCUUAGGAAUGAGGUGGAGUGAGAGCGGUUUUGCAUCAAAAUAAUGACUUAGGGAAGACAAAGGGUAAAAUCGAAGUUGGAAAAGAUGUGUCAAAAACCCUGUAGGUGGAUUGUAAGAAAAAGUGGAGGCCAAGGCUGGGGUUGGUCAGGGAGGGAGUGUUUUGAAUAUCUUGGACUGCAUUUUGAAACAAUGGGUGAUGAUUAGGCCCCGGAAGGCGAUGCUGUACUAGACUGAGGAGUUAAGGGUAGAGUGGGGAAGAGGAGACCAACAGAGCAAGCCAACGAUAAGGCUAGAUUGGCGUUUGGGGGGAGAUGAUAAUAAAUGAUCCCGAAGGCAAACCACGUGAGUUUAAAUUUUAUAAAAUGUGACAAGGAUUUUAUAAAAUAGCAAGUCCUUAUGUGGCAGAAACAGGACAAAAACAUGGGCAGCUGCCAAACUGAAGGCCUGAGAAGAAAGAGCAUCAAGAUGGCCAGGGCCCUGCUAAGGAUAUCUCGAGGAAGGGACAUCGUGGGGACCAGCAGGGAGCUGAGGAACACAGGAGGUAAAGUGUCCUACGGGGCACUGCAGUUGGUUGUUGUGUGGGAGGGAGAGGGCUGUCACUCAGUGUGCACCAUCCGCUUACCCCUGGGCUCAGGGAAGAUGAUGUGUUUGUCAUCCCUGAUGAAUGAGUCUGGCUUCUGUUUUUAGAAACCUUUGGAAUAUAUUCUACAACUUCCCUCAAUAACUCAUUUUAGCCUUUAAUGGGUCUCCAGGCCAGGAGAAUCCUCCUCCCAUCCAAAACAGCAAUUCCUCACUUGAGAAGCACAUUCCCCCGCCCCCCCCUCAUUCUUUCCUGAGCUGAGAUGAAUUCAGAGUAAGGUGUGGUUACUAUUUCCUGUUGUGAAUCCUUCAUACACGGGAGGACUAGUUCCCAGUCCCUGCUUCUCCUCUCCAACAAAACAAAACAAAACAAAACAAAGAUUUUGGUUUAUUUAAGGUUUUCUCAUGGGGCCAUUAAUUAUCUCUGUGGUUCUUCCCUAGUCUCUUUCUUGGGUGUUUCCUUGGCCAUGAAGUACCAAACUGGGCAUUGAGAGAUAAAGGGAAGUAUAGCAGGAUAAAUGGAGACUGCAGAGUCAGACCUAGGUUUUAAUAACAGCUUUCCUGCUAUUAAAUAUGUUAUAAAUCUAACAGUGUUUAUUUCCUGGAGGAUACUAUGAUUGUCCACAAUAAGUCUUAAUUACUUGUAUAAAGAAAAGUUUUUAAAUAAGUUGUACAUCUAUUUUUAUAAAAACAUAUUAUCACAAAUAUUUAAAAAUAUGUGUAUCAAGUAAACUGCUGAAAUAUACCAGAAAGGUAAUAUUGUGUUUCUGAGUGAUGGCACUAUGUGUGAUUGGUUUCUUCUUUAACUUUUUUUUUUUUUUAGAUUUUAUUUAUUCAUUCAUGAGAAAUACAUAGAGAGAGGCAGAGACAUAGGCAGAGGGAGAAGCAGGCUCCAUGCAGGGAGCCCAAUGUGGGACUCGAUCCUAGGACCCCAGGAUCACAUCUAUGCUCAACCAUUGAGCAACCCAGGCAUUCCUCUUCUUUAACUUUUCUGAAGUUUACAAAUUAUUUACAAUGAUAUUUCAAUGUAUUAUGUAAUCAUACUUUAUGAUACAGUACUAAGUUAUAUAAUGAUAAAUGCAUCGAAAAAAUUUUAUCAAGAUAAAUGAAGAGGAAAAAAAAGCACAUUGUCUAUUGCUGUAUUGAUGACUCAUGUCCUAUGACCAAUAGAUAUUUAUCUAUCCCUUUCAGAGCAUCACCAAAUCUCAGUGUUUUUAAGGCUUCUGAGUCACCUAAGAUGACUAUUAUUUGAUGUAGGAUCUAUCUUUGUAAUAUGUAAAUAUUAAAAAUAAUAAUAAUAAUUAAUAUCAAUGUGCCAAGCCUUUGCAAUAAGCACUUUGAAUGCAUUGCUUCAUUGAAGGUUCGAGAUAAUUCUAUGGUACUUAGGUAAGGUACUUGUAGUAGGGAGAAUAAUGUCCUGAAAAUGUCCGUGUUCGAAUGCUUGGGAGCUGUGAAUAUGAUCAUUUAUAUGGCAAAAGGCAAUUAAAGUUGAAGGUGGAAUUGAAAUGGUCAGUCAGCUGACCUUGAGAUAGGGAGAUGAUCCUGAAUUAUCUGAGUGGGUCCAGUAUAAUCACAAGGGUCUAUUUAAGUGGAAGAGGGAGGCAGAAGGAGAUUGUGAGAAGGAUGCCAUGUAGAGAAAGACUCGAUAGGCCAUUGCUGGCUUUAAAGAAAGAAGGGGGCCCCAGACAACCCCUAGAUGCAAGAAAAGGUAAGGAAAUGGAUUUCCCCCUGGAGCCCCCAGAAAGGAAUGCAGCCCUGAGGAUACGCUGAUUUUUAACCCAGUGAGACCUAUUUCAGAUUUCUGACCCCCAGAACUACAAUAUAAUAAAUUAGUGUAGUAAUGUGCUAUAGCAUCCAUAGGAAACAACAACAACAAAAAAGUUAUUAUAUCCCAAUUUUACAGGUGAGCAGACUAAGGCUUAGAAAAGUAACUUGAUUAAGGUCACAUAUAAGUGGUUAUGACAACAUCAGCAUUUGAAUCCAGGUUGUCUGGUGAUAGCACCUGUACCCUAGGGCACCUGGCCUCACUGGAGCCCCAGAUGUUUGUCCAGCAUCGGCCAGAAUAUUAAAAUCUGAAAAUGCUCUCAUAAGUAGCCCCCUAUACUUAAGAUGGCUCUAAGUAGUAGAACUGAUGUCCUGUAUUUAGUGGUCCUUCCAGCCAUUUUCCUCAUUGAUUUGUCAGACCAAAUUACUUAAUUCCUCCUUAAUGAGAAAUACUUUUUAAAUAUUUGAGGUCAGUAAUCACUUCUCCCUAAGUCUUUUCUUCUCUGGGUGAAACAAUCCCUGAUUCAGUCUUUUCCUUAAAAGAAGACAUUAAAUUCCAGCACUUUCUUGACCUCUUCCUUCUGGAAAGCAUCCACAGUGUCACACCCAUUUGAGGACCAGCCAGUUCUUAACCUUACUUUGAGUUUCUUCCAUGAGCUUAUCAUGCUGACCUAAACCCUUCUGAACUUGAUUAUAUAUUACACCUUGAGCUCUUUGACGGAAAUAUUUCUAAAAAUCAGUAAAUACUGAUAAUUUUUGGAUUAUCUGUUUUUUUUUAAAGGUUUUAUUUAUUUAUUCAUGAGAGACACAGAGAGAGGCAGAGACACAGGCAGAGGGAGAAGCAGGCUCCCUGUGGGGAGCCGAUGCAGGACUCAAUCCCAGGACCCCGGGAUCACACCCUGAGCCAAAAGCAGAUAGAUGCUCAACCCCUGAGCCACGCAGGUGCCCCUGGAUUAUCUGUCCUAAAUACGUGAAAAUAUAGCUUGUUUUCAAGUUCCUUUUGAUAUUAUCACAAACUAAUUUCACUCUUUAUCGACAGGAAUCCUACCUUUCUUGUUUUAGUCCGGCAGGGGCUAGAAGAAAAGGCCUGCUAAGCUACAAUAAGGAGCUGUUUUGGCAAACGAGCAACUUUGUAAGGAGCCUCGAGAUUAUCAUAGGCUCCUUGUGUGUACCAGUCUGAGAAGCUGUGCUACUGUUCUAAUGGACUGGGGGGCCAGAAGGAAAAUAAAGCAAAUGUCAAGAGCCAAUGUGAUUUUGGAGCACCUGGAUGGCUCAGUCGGUUAAGCACCUGACUCCUAAUUUUGGCUCAGGUCAUGAUGUCAGGGUCACAAGAUCAAGCCCUGCAUUCGGCUCUGUGCUCAGUGCUAAGUCUGCCAGAGAUUCUCUCCUCUUCUCCCUCUAUCCCCCCCCCCCUCUUUCUCAAAUAAAUAAAUCUUUAAAAAAAAAGUCAAUGUGAUUUUAUCAUAUUAUUAAAAUACUAUGAAUCUUUAGGAUAGAGAGACCUGCACACAAAUAUUAGUAACAGCCUCCUAAAAUUUUCAAUCUAAAUGAUCCAUGUUGCUGUUCCCUUGUUUCUGCAAAUAAUCAAGGGCUGACUGUAAACAAAGAAGACAGCCAAGAAAAACCCCUGAACUUAUGCAGUUGCAUAAUGAUGAAUGUUUGGUGAAAAAAACAUGAACCCAUAUUUCAUUCAUUUAACUCCAUGAAUCUCUUCCAAGAAGGGGUAGGGAGGGUGGCAGAUAAACAUUUGUGUGGGCUAGUAUAUAAACAUUCCAGUAAUUAAGUAGGCUGCUCUGUCAGAACUGACUUGAAGAGUCAAAGGUACUUGAACACAAAACAUGAGGUUUGCAUUUCCUUUUUAAAUACCUACAGGAGUAAGAAUAAAAAUAGAAAUGCCACAAUCAACUUCAUUUGGGGCUUUUCUGAAUCCCAAAUGUUUGAAAAAAUAGUUUGAUAUAUUGAGGGAAACAGGUGCAGACAGUUUGGACCCUCUGGGUACUGAGGGCAGGUCUCUCGAGGGUGCCAAGUAUUAGGGAGGAGCAAAACUCAACUCAGGGCACAGAAUGACACCUCCAAUGGUGAGGAUUUUAACCCUGCUUCGUUCGUCUGCUGCUAUUGUAUCUUUAUGCUUUGGGAAAGUCAAACGUCUGGGCUGUAACACUAGGCUACCUCAAAGGGCUCCUGGAAAGAAUAACUUAGAAUGGUUUCCUUUUUAGAUUAUAAAAAAGAAAGAAAAUCUUAUGUAAAUGGUGAUAAAGUCUAUGCUUGUGACUGCAGAACAUAGUACAGGCAUUCAAGAGGGGAGGCCCUUUGAUUUCCAGAAUUGUAUGAUUUGAGCUUUACCGGCUUCUAUUUUGCCUCCCACAGAACAUUGCUGUGUUCAUCUAAAGUAAGAGAAGAGGUGCUCGGUGGGUGAGGGUAGAGUCAAUAUGAAUGAAGAGUCGUUACAUCAUGUGUCUGACUGACCUUGACCAUCCCCCUACCCACCAACAGUACACUCCUUGCCUCCAGCUGGUAAGCCCCUAGGUAUCCGUCGAGCCCGUGGCUCCUGUCCUGUGACUCCACCUUACUCACUCUUAUCUGUUCCUCCUGCUACCAUGUCAGCUGGGGUCUGGGACCCCAGCCUUGAUCCUAUCUCUAGCCUUGGCUUGGCAUUUGGACUUAGAAUCUCAGGUAUUCAGACCCCAGAUCUCUGCCUCUGGCUUUAAUGGGCAUUUUCUCUGUAGCUCCAGUUCUAUGGAAUCCAAAUCCAUCCCAGCUAAUUGAUGCCAUACUCUCACCCCUUCGGAGAGGGAUUUAGAUAGAUUCAGUGUAUCACAGAUGGGGUUGCUUCCAACUUUUAGUUGUUCUCCAACUUUUCAGUUCCAGGGCCAUGCCAAUAAAGCAAAGACUUCAUGAUGACCGAAUCCCACUAGCCACUCUAUCAGAAAAGCCUGUCACUGGCAAUUUAAGGCAAUGCUUUCCUCAUGCUAGUUAUUCAGCAACACUCAACAACAGAUGUUUAUUGAUUGCCUACUGUGUGCCAUGAACUUAUACAUGAUCUCAUUAUACUUAUAGCAACCUUGCAGGAUUUUCAGGGGAGGAAGCAAAGGAUUAAAGAGAUUAAGUAACUUGCCCAAGGUCACACAGCUAGUAAGUGGCAGAGCCAACUUUGAAUGCCAACUUAGACUAUACCCUGCUGCCUCAUUCUAUAAAUAACUGUUAAGUGCUUAGUUAUUUGCAAGAUGUAUUUCCAACCUCUUAAGGUCUCAUGCUACAUUAGGGCUUCUGGGGGAACCCCUCAUCAAUUACUUCACGGGCCUGAUUCCAAGAAAGCUAACACUCCAGAGUCUAUUAAUUACCCAAGAGCUUUGGGGAAAGGUGGUCAGCUUUUGGUAGGAAUGAGGUACGGUUUCGGUCCCUUUGAAGUGCCUAACAGGAAGUAUCUUGCCUCAGCCUAAACUGCUGAGGGACAUAUUCAAGUGGAUGGCACUCAACAGGUUUGGAAUAACACAUUCCUCAAGUGCUCUGAGCUUCUGAGCAACAACGAAAAAAUUCCAUAGUUAGGCUUCUCUUUCUGGACAUUCAACCACAGUGACUUUGGAAUUUGGUAGCUUCCAUGUAUAUAUUCCGUAUAUUAAAAAAGUUCUUCACAGAGAGUUAAUCCAGAAACUCCACAGAGGACUGGUUCUUAGCUAGCUGGAAGACUUCAGUGGUGUCAUCAGCUCAUCUGCUAAUACUGACGACUGCCUGUUUGAGGGACUGAUCAUCCCUUUCCUCCUCCCGAGCUAAAGCCCUCUUUCCUCCAUAAUCUUAUCUUUAUUGCAAACUUCCCCCCUGCGAGCCCUGGUGAAUGUGAGGUUUUUUUUUUUUUUUUUUUUUUUUUUUUUAAAUAAAUUCCUUCCUCUUUGCCAGGGCCAGCUUAUGGAAGAAACAUGCAUAGAUGCAAGGAGACCCCCCCCCCCUUAGGAGGGCCCUGUACUUGGUUUAAUUAAUGCUCUACUGUCGUAGACUUGAAAUUCUUAAUAGUUUUGUUCAAAGGGCCCUACAUUUUAACAUUGCACAAAUCAGAUAUUCGGUCCUGCUCUGUGCUUAGACACUAGGAUAGGGAGAAGAGUCAUACCACAUAAGUUAAGAGUGGGUAGUGUACCUGUGGUCUCCCUUUGGAACUCAGCAGGCACUUUCCCACAGAGAUAAUCCAUAAAGAUGGGCAGACUUGAUAAAAGCUCUACUCUUCUUAGCCUCAAUAUUUUCAUCUCCAAAAUGGAGACAGCAGCACUUGCCCUUGCAUGUGAUUGUGAGCAUUGCAGCGGCCCAUGUAUGUAGUACCCAUCAGAGUGUUUGAUACACAAUAGGCAUUUGAUAAAUGAAAUCCAUGGGAGACAGCAGGGGCAGAAAACUGAGUUUGAACUCUGGAGGAGUUCGGAGCUAGCUUAGAAUCAUAUCAGCUCUGGUGUUUGAAAAGAUGUAUGACUUCAGUUAAGUGACUUGGCUUCUCGCAGCCUCAGCGUCUUUAUCUAUAAAAUGCUUUUAUCUAAUAUUUAUCUUGUAGAGUGAUCUUGAGAUUUCGAAACUAUAAUGUAUUUAACGAACCUAGUUUAUCCCCUGGCACCUAGAAGAGCUCAAAAAAUAACAGUUCUCAGGAUGGUUCCUUUGUAACAUUAUUUCUAAACAAUUCAUUUAUAAGUGAUGUAGGGAUACAGCCAUUAAUAAGUGUCUUAUACUAUCCAACUUCUUUUACGCUGUAUGACCUAGAAAAUGGAACCCCCUCAUAUGUGCAGAUCACUUUGUAAAAAAUAUUUGAAGAUUAUUCUUCCUUCUUUGCUUGACUGUGAAUUCCCUGAAGGCAGGAAUCAGGUCUUAUUUAUCCUUGUAGCCUGGAACACCUUCUAACACAUGUUAGACUCGCAGCUGAGUUAAAUCUGUCUUCUGCUGUUUAUGCCAACAACAAGAUGAUAAUUUUUCAUAAUAUUUCUAAAUUAGCAAUUAUUAGCCUGUCAAUGAUUAUGAAGUAGAAUGUACCCAAAAUAGCCCUAUCUCUGCUAUUAAAGGCCUUUUUGUCCUUGCCCAUCACACUUGGCUCAUGUUCCUGCAUUCUUGGGUGUGAUUCUUAAUCUAUUAGCAAAGCUAUUCCACUAGGGAACAGAACUCGGUUUCGAACAACCAAUCACCUUCUCUGGCAACAACCUGUGUAGAGAAGCCACUGGAGGAAGAAUUUCCUAAAAGCCCAACCAAACCCCAAGGUCCCUUUUAGGAUUCAAGGCGGCCUCAGAAUUGUGACCUUUAACUGAGAGGGCUUUGGGUCCCUGCAAGAGCCUUCUGAUCGUUAUGGACUUUCUCUCCAGAAAAAGAUAGUCAAUGUCUUCUAUUCAAUUUCAAGGUGUUCUCAGAGUUUCUGCAGCCCUUGUACCUUAGGUUAAGAAUUCUUGUUAGACUAGCCCAGAAAACUGAAUGAGCCAUGUGAAAGAUUCAAGUUUCCUGAUAAAUUCUAGCCCUGAGUAGUUACACUCCCUUGUUCAAAGCAAAGCAAAACAAAACAGUUACAACUCCCUAGAUUUAACCUCAGAAUUAUCCCAGAGGGCCCAGUGUGGCACCUUAACUGUAAGAACAUCCAGCCAAGCAGUGACUACUCUCUGGAAAACCUAAGUGCAGCCGAGUAAAACGAAGCCUUGUUUAAUAAUAUCGUUUACAUUUCCAAAUCCCGGGUAUCAAGCUUUCUUCCUAUCCCUUGUGGCCCUUCCUAAGUUUAGCCGUUGGUGUAAUGGUGUAACCAUGGCAACAACCACCUGCCUAUUUAAAACCAUCUCCAAAGCUAAAUAAGGAAGCCUGGAAAAAAUGGCUGCUCGCCUGCCUCUCAGUGGACAAACUGGGCACUCAUGAGUAUUUUCAACAUGAGCAAGCAGGCAGGGUGGAAGCAGCAUGGACUCAAAGUUCUUACUAGGAAGGGGUCUAGGACCUUGUGAAACAGGACCCAUUUCUAUGUCACUAGGUCUCCACUUACUUGCAGGCACAUGGAUUUGUGUGUAAAUCUGGAUUUACACACAAAUCCGUGUGCCUGCCAUGCCAGGCGACCGUACUACCUUGACCUCGACCAGGGGAAGGGUGGGCCCUGAACUGCAGAAUAGUCUUAUUAAUAGAACUAGGAAAGUGGAAGGAAAAACAGUCACCAGAUCAUAGUGAAAUGCACAAUUGCAACUCUUCUUCUCACAGAGGGAGGUAUCUUUCUAAUUAUAUUUAAUCAUGUGGACAGUUGACAAUUACUCUCUUCAUGUCAUAUGUUGACCCGUCUAUUGAUCUUUGGAAUAUGGAGAAAUUUCUCCCUCCUUCUGCUUUCUCAUUCUCUACCUACUAUAGAGGUUUUGCUUCUUCCCUGCCAAAAGACCAGCACGGCUUGCUCUUCCCCAAGCAUCCUGCUUUCUCUCACUCAUUGUUAUCCUUUUAUAGUUGGUUCCUUCUCUCUGGGCUGCCCUUCUCUUUUUGUCAACCUGAAAAAUACAUACUUGUUUUCCAUGUCUCGGCAUCUCUAUAGAUAGAAGCCCUUCCAUACCAAAUUCCAUGUCCUUGCUUUGUGUUCCCAUAAGUCAGCUUGAUUCGUACCAUUGAACACAAGUCACUCUGCAUAUCUUCCUUCUGGUCUGCACCACCGGACUGCGAGCCCCUACACAUGUCUGUCCAAAACACCUACAGAACAGUGCCUGGCACAGAGUAUGUUUUCAAAAGCUAGUGUUGAAUGAAUGAAUGAGCAGAACCCUUAUGGAUUUCACAAGCAUAUGGCAUCUUAACAAGUAUGUGUGCAUGAGUAUGCAUAAGGGCCCCCCUGUGAAAAGAGUGCCUAAAAGGUCUACAAUGGGUGGAAGAGAAGAAAUAAUUUAGCGUGUAUGUGAGAGUGACAAAGGAUGUACAAGAAGGGUCAGCUGAUUACAGUAAGAGUGGGGGGUGAACACAUACCUGUUAAUAGUGAUUUGUGAGUGUGCAUGGGCUGUGUGUGCGAGCCUGACGGAAUAUGCCUGGCACAGAAGACCCACCCUAAGAAGAUGAGUUUAGCUAGUAGAUUCCACAGAUCUCAGAUCGCUUUUCCUGAAACUGAAGAAUGUUACGAUAGGACUUUUUACCCCUGUUAACCUCCUAGGUGGCGGUGGGGGGUGGUGGAUAUUGUCAGGGGAAAGGAGUAGGAAUGAAAAUGAUGGCACUCUUUGGGGGGGUGUGAGGCUUUAAAUAAAUGUCUUCCGACAAUACUGGACCUCUGCUCGGAAGAGAAUCCUAUGGGCUAUAUAAGUCACUCCCUCAGGCUAAGUCUGCAUUCCUCCCCCCCACCUGCUGGAGGGUGGGGUGGGAUCCAAUGGUCAUCUUGAAAUGGUACAACACAGAGGAAAAGGGAUGGAAAUCAAAGAGAAGGAAAAAAAAAAAGGAAAGAAGAAUGGAGAAAGGUAUUUUAGCAGUCCCGGGGUAGCUAUAUGCCAGUCACAACUCACUUCUCGCAUAUCCCCUCCCACCAGCAAGAAGGAUUUAGUUUUGCUUGCAAAAAAUCUGGUUUUCUCUCUCGUGUUUUUGGACCUAACAUCCAGGCUUCACACAGGGGCUGAGGCUGGGACUUGGGGGGCUCCUGGUGUCCCAGCCCCUGCAGGGGCCUCCCUCUGCUGCCCUCUGCUGUUAGGGGGCAGGACACAGAGGCGACGCCCUCUCUGCCCUCCUGGCCCGGCCUACUCCCUCCACCCCCCCUCCCCUGCUGCCACCCCCUCCCUUCCAGAGAGGCUGAGGCCCCAGCCAUGCAGCCUGCUCCUCCCCACAGAAAUUCCAGGGGGCCGAGGCUGCAGCAGCUUUCCAUCUGGAGAAUGCGGCCAAGCCCCAGGAGGGGGUUCCAGCUAGCCAGGCGCAGGUCCCCACCCCACGAGGCGGGCACAGCGCGCCCUCCCUGCCCGCCCGCAGUCCCUCCCUCUUCACAGCAUCCUCUGCGAGGGGACAGGCGGCCAGGCUGCUGCAGGUUUCUGACACCGUUUUUCUGCUUGGAAAUGGAAACCCUCCUUCCGGCAACGUGGCAGGAAAGCCAAGUCCCUGGGUGGCCGGGCCAAGAACGUUCGGGGUGUUUCUCUCUCAUCACGUGGAAUCUGUGUGCGAUGGAAGCAUCCUGAAAGGGAAGGAGAAGAAAGCGGCCGCCGGAUGAGUGGUCAUGACCAUGCAAAAGGACUUUCCCCAAAGUCAAGAAGAAUCUCACUGCUACCUUCUAUGGACACUCUGCUGUCCUCUUAUUUGCACACCCCUAGCUGCACUAUUGACCACCUGCUCCUCAGAACUCACGAUUGGGAAGGCUUCCAGGACACCAUGCUUCUGAGUUUUGCAUCCUCUGACCAGAACUUCUCCGCCCUGAGUUCCAUCUGCAGCCUACACUCCAUGUCAUGGACCAUCUCGAGUUCUCAUACUUACUCCUAGUGUGUCAUGUCUCUAUAAUGUUGAUCUCUAGAAUCAUCCCUGAGCUUCAGACCUAACACUGAGCUCAUCUACUCAUCUUUCUUCCUCACACUUGGUCUUUCACCCUCAUUAAUGGUCUCAUUUUCCAGCAGAAGAAUGAGUUGCGUCCCUUCACUGCUCAGGCCUCAUGUCAACGCGUUGGGUGCAGGUGGUGGGUUUUAGAAAGAGA
Nyctereutes procyonoides (raccoon dog) is the source of this 20093-nucleotide long non-coding RNA. RefSeq lists it as uncharacterized. The transcript is spliced from 3 exons. The record is from RefSeq and is a predicted model, not a curated record. Lineage: Eukaryota; Metazoa; Chordata; Mammalia; Carnivora; Canidae.